GUUAAAUAAAUACAUCUGAAUUAAACAUGAUAAUAUAGAAAGAGACAUUCACACGCACAUUCCAACAUCCCACAGAACAUUUAUUCCUAAAUUUCGCCUACCCGGCCUACGAUUGCCUACCCGCUUGACUUACCAUGAUACUAUCACGAAAUUGAUAAUUAGACGCGAAAGUAAUAAUAACGACGAAUCAAAACAACAACAAAUCAAAAUUAAUCCUAAUUCACUUUAACGAUUUUUAAACUCGCGCCCCGAAUUCCCUUUAAACCACAUGAUUAGUGCAUGCUUUGAUUUUCCAAUCACAUCUCAUAAUCCGAAACCAACAUCAAACACAACACAAACAACGAAGAUUCAAACCAAACACACAACAAAUAAAUCAUCCACACCCACAACAUUCAAUAAAAAAGUCAAAAUGAAUUAAAGAUUCGAUUAGAAGAAAUGGACCUCGAUGAAAUUAAUCCUUGUCGAUAAUAAAAAAAUUCGAAGACCAAAAUACUCGAUUGGAGAACCUUACAACGAACAACUCCAAACUCGAUAUUGAGUUCAACCGGACAGAUCGGAAAACCACGACAAAAACCUCACGAUGAAUAACCCACAAAUCCGAAUAAACUUCAAAAAAACAACCCAAGAUCCCAGAUUCGAAACCCCAAACCAACGAUUUCCAACUAACCUUGCACGAACCAAAAUAACUC
RNAcentral lists this long non-coding RNA (689 nucleotides) under Capsicum annuum. Its description in RNAcentral is "long non-coding RNA (CANN_LNC011199)". Lineage: Eukaryota; Viridiplantae; Streptophyta; Magnoliopsida; Solanales; Solanaceae. The record is from RNAcentral.